GUGAGGAAUAUUGGUCAAUGGGCGCAAGCCUGAACCAGCCAUGCCGCGUGCAGGAUGACGGUCCUAUGGAUUGUAAACUGCUUUUGCACAGGAAGAAACACUACCUCGUGAGGUAGCUUGACGGUACUGUGAGAAUAAGGAUCGGCUAACUCCGUGCCAGCAGCCGCGGUAAUACGGAGGAUCCAAGCGUUAUCCGGAAUCAUUGGGUUUAAAGGGUCCGUAGGCGGUCUAAUAAGUCAGUGGUGAAAGCCCUACGCUCAACGUAGGAACGGCCAUUGAUACUGUUAGACUUGAAUUACUUGGAAGUAACUAGAAUAUGUAGUGUAGCGGUGAAAUGCUUAGAGAUUACAUGGAAUACCAAUUGCGAAGGCAGGUUACUACAAGUGGAUUGACGCUGAUGGACGAAAGCGUGGGUAGCGAACAGGAUUAGAAACCCCAGUAGUCC
This 445-nucleotide ribosomal RNA is filed under the name uncultured bacterium. RNAcentral's name for it is "bacterial SSU rRNA". It matches the Rfam family "Bacterial small subunit ribosomal RNA", at positions 354 to 796 of the family's 1533-position model. The record is from RNAcentral.